Molecule: ribosomal RNA, 198 nt
Filed under: uncultured bacterium
Lineage: Bacteria
Description: partial 16S ribosomal RNA
Rfam family: Bacterial small subunit ribosomal RNA
Source: RNAcentral
ACGCUCGACACCUACGGGAGCCAGCAGUGGGGAAUAUUGCACAAUGGGGGAAACCCUGAUGCAGCGACGCCGCGUGAGUGAAGAAGUAUUUCGGUAUGUAAAGCUCUAUCAGCAGGGAAGAAGAUGACGGUACCUGAGUAAGAAGCCCCGGCUAACUACGUGCCAGCAGCCGCGGUAAUCUGAGCGGGCUGGCAAGGC